UCAAGAUGAGAUUUCCCAUAGCAUAAGCUAGUAAGACCCCUUGAAGACUACAAGGUUGAUAGGUCAGAGGUGUAAGUAUGGCAACAUAUUUAGCUGACUGAUACUAAUAGGUCGAGGGCUUGACCAAUAUA
Molecule: ribosomal RNA, 131 nt
Filed under: Clostridium beijerinckii
Lineage: Bacteria; Bacillati; Bacillota; Clostridia; Eubacteriales; Clostridiaceae
Description: partial 23S ribosomal RNA
Rfam family: Bacterial large subunit ribosomal RNA
Source: RNAcentral